GAUGAACGCUGGCGGCGUGCCUAAUACAUGCAAGUCGAGCGAACAGACGAGGAGCUUGCUCUUCUGAUGUAGCGGCGGACGGGGGAGUAACCCGUUGAAAACCUACCUAUAAGACUGGGAUAAACUCGGGAAACCGGAGCUAAUACCGGAUAACAUGUUGAACCGCAAGGGUCAACAGUGAAAGACGGUCUUGCCGUCACUUAUAGAUGGAUCCGCGCCGCAUUAGCUAGUUGGUAAGGUAACGGCUUACCAAGGCAACGAUGCGUAGCCGACCUGAGAGGGUGAUCGGCCACACUGGAACUGAGACACGGUCCAGACUCCUACGGGAGGCAGCAGUAGGGAAUCUUCCGCAAUGGGCGAAAGCCUGACGGAGCAACGCCGCGUGAGUGAAGAAGGUCUUCGGAUCGUAAAACUCUGUUAUUAGGGAAGAACAAAUGUGUAAGUAACUAUGCACGUCUUGACGGUACCUAAUCAGAAAGCCACGGCUAACUACGUG
This 496-nucleotide ribosomal RNA is filed under the name uncultured bacterium. RNAcentral describes it as "partial 16S ribosomal RNA". It matches the Rfam family "Bacterial small subunit ribosomal RNA", at positions 28 to 507 of the family's 1533-position model. The record is from RNAcentral.